Molecule: ribosomal RNA, 468 nt
Filed under: uncultured bacterium
Lineage: Bacteria
Description: partial 16S ribosomal RNA
Rfam family: Bacterial small subunit ribosomal RNA
Source: RNAcentral
GACGAACGCUGGCGGCGUGCUUAACACAUGCAAGUCGAACGGAAAGGCCCUGCUUUUGUGGGGUGCUCGAGUGGCGAACGGGUGAGUAACACGUGAGUAACCUGCCCUUGACUUUGGGAUAACUUCAGGAAACUGGGGCUAAUACCGGAUAGGAGCUCCUGCUGCAUGGUGGGGGUUGGAAAGUUUCGGCGGUUGGGGAUGGACUCGCGGCUUAUGAGCUUGUUGGUGGGGUAGUGGUUUACCAAGGCUUUGCCGGGUAGCCGGCCUGAGAGGGUGACCGGCCACAUGGGGACUGAGAGACGGCCCAGUCUCGUACGGGAGGCAGCAGUGGGGAAUAUUGCACAGUGGGCGCAAGCCUGAUGCAGCGACGCCGCGUGCGGGAUGACGGCCUUCGGGUUGUAAACCGCUUUCGCCUGUGACGAAGCGUGAGUGACGGUAAUGGGUAAAGAAGCACCGGCUAACUACGUG